RNAcentral lists this non-coding RNA (77 nucleotides) under Tryblionella compressa. The record is from RNAcentral. Lineage: Eukaryota; Bacillariophyta; Bacillariophyceae; Bacillariales; Bacillariaceae.
AAGAGACAACAACAAUAAUGUGAGAAUUGUACAAUCAUUCAUACGUUGUUGGUGUUUUGUCUUUUUGUUUUGUUUUU